Sebastes umbrosus (honeycomb rockfish) is the source of this 1756-nucleotide RNA transcript. It is a transcript of the gene named 24-dehydrocholesterol reductase, with no coding region annotated. The record is from RefSeq and is a predicted model, not a curated record. The transcript has 10 exons. NCBI's taxonomy places the organism in Eukaryota, Metazoa, Chordata, Actinopteri, Perciformes, Sebastidae.
CACUAAAAGAUACUUUGAGUUCUGAGAACCGCACACUGACUCCGAUUAACGAUGGAUCCGCUGCUGUAUUUAGCCGGUGUGGUGGUUUUGUUCCUGCUGUGGAUCAAAGUUAAAGGUCUAGACUAUGUGAUUGUUCACCAGCGGUGGAUCUUUGUGUGUUUGUUCCUGCUGCCGCUCUCUGUUAUAUUCGAUGUGUACUAUUAUGUGCGCGCGUGGCUCAUUUUCAAGAUGUGCUCUGCGCCCAAACUGCACGACCAGCGCGUGCGAGACAUCCAGCGACAGGUGCGCGAAUGGAAGAAGGACGGCAGUAAGACCUACAUGUGUACAGGUCGACCCGGCUGGCUCACCGUCUCUCUCCGAGUGGGGAAAUACAAGAAGACCCACAAGAACAUCAUGAUCAACAUGAUGGACAUCCUGGAGGUGGACACAGAGAGGCAGGUUGUGAGAGUUGAGCCGCUGGCCAACAUGGGUCAGCUGACCGCCCUCCUCACCUCUAUUGGCUGGACGCUGCCAGUGCUGCCGGAGCUCGAUGACCUCACUGUGGGUGGUCUGGUGAUGGGUACAGGCAUUGAGUCAUCCUCUCACAUUUACGGGCUGUUUCAGCACAUCUGCGUCGCAUUUGAGCUGGUUCUAGCUGACGGCAGCUUAGUGCGCUGCACUGAGGAGGAGAACUCGGACCUGUUCCACGCCGUCCCGUGGUCCUGUGGAACUCUGGGGUUCCUGGUUGCAGCUGAGAUUAAAAUAGUCCCCGCUAAACCCUGGGUGAAGCUGAGCUAUGAGCCGGUCAGAGGGCUGGAGAACAUCUGCAAACGCUUCACUGAAGCGUCGGAGAACAAACAGAACACGUUUGUGGAGGGCCUCCAGUACGGUCGGGACAGCGCCGUCAUCAUGACGGGAACGAUGACUGACCAUGCUGAGCCUGAUAAGAUUAACAGAAUCGGCCUGCACUUUAAACCCUGGUUCUUUAAACACGUGGAGGGCUUCCUGAAAGGCGACCACGCUGGAGUUGAGUACAUCCCUCUGAGGCAGUACUAUCAUAGACACACACGCAGCAUCUUCUGGGAGCUUCAGGAUAUUAUUCCCUUCGGCAACAACCUGAUUUUCCGCUGGCUUUUCGGAUGGAUGGUUCCUCCUAAGAUCUCCCUGCUGAAGCUCACCCAGGGGGAGACCAUCAGACGGCUUUAUGAACAGCACCACGUGGUCCAGGACAUGCUGGUCCCCAUGAAGAAUCUGCAGGCCGCCAUCACGCGCUUCCACGAGGACAUCGACGUUUACCCUCUGUGGCUGUGUCCUUUCCUGCUGCCAGCGGGCAGAGGGAUGGUUCACCCCAAAGGUCAAGAGGACGAGCUGUAUGUGGACAUUGGGGCUUACGGAGAGCCUAAAGUCAAACACUUUGAAGCUAAAGCAUCAACACGUCAGCUGGAGAAGUUUGUUAGAGAUGUGCACGGGUUUCAGAUGCUGUAUGCAGAUGUGUACAUGGACCGAGAGGAGUUCUGGGAGAUGUUUGAUGGACAGCUGUAUCACAAACUGAGAGAGGAACUGGGCUGUAAGGAGGCCUUCCCGGAGGUUUACGACAAAAUCUGUAAAUCUGCCCGACACUGACCUCCAUCGCUGGUACAUGACCUCAUAGCCCCGAGUCACAGAUACACCGAGGCAUCGUCUACAACUCACGUUUGCUGACUGCUUGGUAUGUUUCAACAAAAACAAAAAACUGUUUUACACAAAGAUACAUCUCAGAAUUUGAUAAAAAUUGCUU